UACGGAGGGUGCAAACGUUGCUCGGAAUCAUUGGGCGUAAAGCGCACGUAGGCGGACUGUUAAGUCGGAUGUGAAAUCCCUCAGCUUAACUGAGGAAGUGCAUUCGAAACUGGCAGUCUUGAGUAUGGAAGAGGGUCGCGGAAUUCCCGGUGUAGAGGUGAAAUUCGUAGAUAUCGGGAGGAACACCAGUGGCGAAGGCGGCGACCUGGGCCAAUACUGACGCUGAGGUGCGAAAGCGUGGGGAGCGAACAGG
RNAcentral lists this ribosomal RNA (253 nucleotides) under uncultured bacterium. Its description in RNAcentral is "partial 16S ribosomal RNA". It matches the Rfam family "Bacterial small subunit ribosomal RNA", at positions 524 to 776 of the family's 1533-position model. The record is from RNAcentral.